Molecule: ribosomal RNA, 253 nt
Filed under: uncultured bacterium
Lineage: Bacteria
Description: partial 16S ribosomal RNA
Rfam family: Bacterial small subunit ribosomal RNA
Source: RNAcentral
UACGUAGGGGGCUAGCGUUGUCCGGAAUCAUUGGGCGUAAAGCGCGUGUAGGCGGCCCGGUAAGUCCGCUGUGAAAGUCGGGGGCUCAACCCUCGGAUGCCGGUGGAUACUGUCGGGCUCGAGUACGGAAGAGGCGAGUGGAAUUCCCGGUGUAGCGGUGAAAUGCGCAGAUAUCGGGAGGAACACCUAUGGCGAAGGCAGCUCGCUGGGACGUUACUGACGCUGAGACGCGAAAGCGUGGGGAGCAAACAGG